CCUUUCCUCCCUUCCCUUCACAGGUUGCCCCAUAGUGACCCUGGAGACUCCCGCCUGCCCCCAGUGAAGGAAUUGGUUACUCUCCCAGAGCCCUCCCGGGCAUCGCCCCCUUCCUCACUUCCUCCUCUUCCUGCCCCCAGCCUCUACCCCUCCAGCCUCCUGUGGCUUCACAGGCAAGUGCCGCAUCCCAGGAAGAAGGAGUUGGAGCUCCGUGAUGCCAUUCAAAAACAGAUGAGAUGGGGACAGAUUUAACCCAAAGGACAUAGUUCAACUCCUGGUCUUGACAGAGGAGAAGCCCUCAAAGCCUCUCUCAAUUGCCUUCUCAGCUUGUAUGCUUUGAAGAAGCAAGCUGCAGUGUUGGAGAGGCCCAUGUGGCAAGGAAAUGAGGGUGGCCUCCAGUCAAUGGCUGGUGAGAAACUGAGACCUUCCUUCCAACAAUUGUCAAGUAACUGAAUACUCCCAACAAUCAUAUGGGUUAGGUUAGAAGUGAACCUUUCUCUAGUUGAGGUUUCAGAUAAGACCACAGAUAUUAUACUAACACCUUGAUUGCAGGCUUAUGAGAAACCUUGAAAUGAGAAGACUAAGUAAAACCAUAUCUGGAUUCCUGACUUGCAGAAACUGUGUGAUGAUAAAUGUGUGUUAUCUUAAGCCACAAAGUUUUUGGGGUGAUUUGUUCUACAGCAAUUGAUAAUGAAUACUUCAACCUAUAGUGACAACUGGAUGUCUAUUUACUCAUUUUCCCCACCAAAGUGUAAAGUUCCUACAAGGCAGAGGUUACAACAUAUUCAUCCUGCUACCUCUCACAGCCCAUAAUAUACAACCUGACCCAUAAAACAUGAUUAAUCAAUGUUUGUUAAAUUAACAUGUAUUUUGAGUUUCAUUGAAAUCAGUUAGUUGAAGUGAUAAUAACAUUUAAAUGUGCAUGAGCAGUAGGACAAGGCAGAUAGCUGGUUAGGAUAGAAAGUUUUUGAAAAUUGUGAGGGGAAAAAUUAUUUCUAUUUGUACCCUGUUGUACCCAGCUUAGGUUUCAAAAACUUUCAGGGGGUUUUUAUUCAUUUACCAAAGACUUCAAAGUUGGUGCCUCCCCACCACUCUAAAGAGGUCUUUGCCCUUAUUGACCCAACCAUACUGAUUUGCCUGGUGCACAGUGGGAGCUAUUAUAAGGAGAGGGGAGAAGAAGGAAAUAGAAACAACUGUGAAAAAGGUUGAAAAAAAUAGCGAAAAGGAUAGAAAAAGAGCAGAGGAAAGAGAAGAAGUAGUCAACAUCCAACCCAGAUGCAGAGAAAUGAUUCAAAAGAAAAAGUCUGAUUUUCCUGUCGGAAAUAUUUUUAAAAGGAGGUAGGCAUUUAUCAAAAAGGAAAAAAAAAAAAAAAGAAUAACAGAGUUUGUCUUCCAAAGGACCCAAUACUCUUGGAAUUCAAUGACCUAAUUCUGUGUAUGGUUGCAGUGUGGAGAUUGCCUCUUGUCUGAUUCUCAUGGCAUUGAGACCUCUGAUUUCUCAACAGCACAUGCCACAGCACUAUCAGAAGUCAGGAAUAAAGAACAGAGGGUGUGGGGGGCAGUCUAGAUAUUAUGCUCAGCAAACAUAUUUUUAAAUCAGUGUAAAUUCUAUCUUGCUGGUUGCUUAUCUUAGCAGUUAAAUCAACUUUUCGUUACUUUUGUAGACAUUAUAUAAUAUCUUCUCCCCGCAGCUCCAGCCACCAGCUGUUAGUCAGCAGAAUGGGAGAGGGACUGGGUCAGCUUAAGCUGAAUAACUUCCAUGGUGACAUUUGAGGGAACCAAUUCCCAGCCACUGAACAAACCUAAAUGUUCUGCUAUGGCCAUAGAACCAAAUAGAUCUUAACAAAGAAACCUGAGAGCAUUCAAAGGUCAAAACAAUUGGAGCUAGUUCCUUCAAGCUUAAAUAUGCUCAUCUGUAAAGUGGGGACAAUAACUGUGUGUCUUAUAGGGUUAUUUUGAAGGCUAAAUAUGUGUAAAAGCCUCAGUCUACUGAAAGGUUGCUCAACUGUAACACUCUUUUCAUUUUGUGAGGGAUCAUUCUUUGUUGGAGGUUAGGGACACUGUCUCGUGCAUUACAGGAUGUUUAGCAACAUCCUCAGCUUCUAUCCAUCAGAUGUUAGCACCCCCCCCACGGACCACCAUCUUCUCCAUCAUCACCAUCAAAUAUGUCUCCAGACAUUUCCAAGUGUCCCCUGGGAGGCUAAAACUGCCCCUGGUUGAGAACCACUGUUCUAGUACUUGGCAUUGUUCCAUAAACAUCAGAUGAUAUUUUUAUCAUUAUAAUUAUUACUAAAGGCAACAUCACCCUGCUAUGGAGACAGGUCCUUGGUCUCACGGAAUCCCUGCAAUAGUUGCUGCAUUUCUGCAUCUUUCUGAGAGUAAGGGUUGAAAAGAGAUAAGGUCAAUUCAUCUGACAACAAUCCAAUGGGAAACCUACUGUCUCCGUAGAAAUUCUUUUCAUGGAAAGAAAAGGGGCUACCAUUUUGAUCUGCUGCAGGAACUAGGUCUAUUCCUCAGCCUCACAGUUUGCAAAACGCUACAGACUUUUCCAUGGGCAUAAAUUCUCCAGCUUUAGGGAUUGCUGGUAUAGUUGACUCUUGAAGCUGCUCUUGGAUUUCCAAGGGUAGCACCAUUUUUACCUGAGAAAAGAAGGAAAAAGAUAUUCAAGAAGGAGAACUUUUCAACAGAAGUUACUCCAUUUGCUGUUUUUGUGGUUUUGUGCUUGUUUAGGUUUGCAAGUGUGUUUUCUGCCCAAAUUGUUCUUGCAUAUUCUAACAGUGUUUGCUUUACGUGUUUUGAUGCCACGCUGUUUUGAAGGUACAAAUGUUUUUCAUGGCAUGUCUUGUGUUAAGUGUACAAACUGAGACGUGAAUGUCAGUGACUGAAUAGAGUACAGUAUUCCUCAAAGUUUGUAACUAAAUAAACCCUAAGAGAAAAGUGAAGCGAGAUUUCUGGAGGUCUGGAAGUGGCCAGCUGACAAUAUACAUCUCUGUAUCUCCUAUUUUUAUCUUUAUGCUAAAUGCAAAUUUUACUUUCUGUGCUAAAAUAAUGUUUCAUUAGUUUCAAGGUAAAAAUGUGUAAAUAGACUUUCCGUACUGGCUUGUUUAUUCUGUGGUUUUUCCUACUCCCUUUUUAAAAGUAUGUACAGUGAAUUUGCAAAGAUCAUAGUAUUGGAAUCUAACCCACCUGAAUUUCAGUCCUUGGCUAUACUACUGAUAGAAUGGAUUAACUUGGGCAUAUCACUUAAUCCUGAGGACCCUCAGUUUCCAUAUCCGAAAUGAAGAAGUAAGAAGUGACCUACUAUAUCACACCAUUAUAAGAAGUAAAAGCAAUAUAUGUGAACAGUAGAGCAGAGGGCCAGGCACAGAAAGUUCUCUAUAGUCAUUAGCUGGCAUAAUUAUUAUAAAAGGGAGCACUUUUGAUGUAAAACAUAGGUAGAAGUUCACAAAUUUGUUAAUCUGCCCCUACCUCCCAACCGUCUACCUACCCUCCAUACCUGGCCACCUGCCUCAUACAGAUAUUGCCUAACUUUUAAAAAGGAACACUUUUGAUAUAAAACAUAGGUAGAGGGUCACGCAGUACAUGAAUGAGAAAUGAAACAGAGGCCUGUUAAUCUACUGUCACCUCCCAACCCUCUACCCACCCCCUAUACCUGGCCACCUGCCUCUGUGCAGAUCUUGCCUAACCUUUC
This 3691-nucleotide long non-coding RNA is filed under the name Homo sapiens (human). RNAcentral's name for it is "non-protein coding LINC01152:13". Lineage: Eukaryota; Metazoa; Chordata; Mammalia; Primates; Hominidae. The record is from RNAcentral.